Molecule: long non-coding RNA, 585 nt
Filed under: Capsicum annuum
Lineage: Eukaryota; Viridiplantae; Streptophyta; Magnoliopsida; Solanales; Solanaceae
Description: long non-coding RNA (CANN_LNC007641)
Source: RNAcentral
GGCGGCAAUACUCCGACGAGUUCCAUAUAAUGGCAGAAGACGACGAUGCAUUUUCCGAUCUAGAUUCCGGCGAUUCAAUUCCUUUAUUCUUCGAUAAAAAUCGCCAUAUUUGCUAUUUAGAGAUGAUGCUUGAGCUAUUACCUUCACCUUAUCAAUCACAAGAGAUCAAUCGACUUACUCUCGCUUACUUCGCUAUAUGCAGUCUCGAUAUCCUUCGCUCUCUCGAUCGCGUAAGUAUUUGUUUCAUAAUGUAUUGUAUCGUACUGUAUUAUUAUGUUGUACUGCUUAUGUUCACUCUUACUUGUCACGUUUCGCGAGAGUCAAUUUAACUAAUUUUUAAACCUAAAAUACAAUAAAAUUCUCCGAUUAGAUCCGUACAAUGGCGAAGGAAGAUGAAGCAUUUUUGAGCUUAUCCAAUCUAGAUUUCGAUUAUUCUGCUCCUUUUUUCUUCGAUAAAAAUCGUCAUAUUUGCUAUUUAGAGAUGAUAUUGGAACUAUUACCUUCACCUUAUCAAUCACAAGAUAUCAAUCGAGUUACUCUUGCUUACUUUGCUGUAUGCGGUCUCGAUAUCCUUCGUUCUCUCCA